Molecule: ribosomal RNA, 206 nt
Filed under: uncultured bacterium
Lineage: Bacteria
Description: partial 16S ribosomal RNA
Rfam family: Bacterial small subunit ribosomal RNA
Source: RNAcentral
CGUGUAGGCGGCCAAACAGGUCCGUUGUGAAAACUGGAGGCUUAACCUCCAGACGUCGACGGAAACCGUAUGGCUAGAGUCCGGAAGAGGAGAGUGGAAUUCCUGGUGUAGCGGUGAAAUGCGCAGAUAUCAGGAAGAACACCUAUGGCGAAGGCAGCUCUCUGGGACGGUACUGACGCUGAGACGCGAAAGCGUGGGAGCGAACA